ACCGACUGAGCCACCCAGGCGCCCCCCCCCCCAAUUUUUUUUUUUAAUUAAAAAAUAACUUGGUGAAUUCUUGUUGUAGAUGUAAGUUUUAUUUCAGUUGAAAUCAAACUUUGUAAAUAAUUUUUUUUUUUGAAAGGUUGAUUUGACCUCAAUAUAGAGAGCCUUAGCAUGUGUGUGGGCCCACAAGAUCCUUGCUGAAAAAGAGAAGACAUCACUGUAAGAGACCAGGGCCCUCUGAUGGCCCCUGAAAGCGCAGGGUUCCCAGCCAGAGUUGACUGUCCUGUGCUUUGGACUUAUCCUUGGGAAUGGAACUCCAGAGGUAGGAUUGAAGGCAGCAACAAGGAACCAGACUCAUAGGGGGCUCAGAAAUAUUCCUUUGCUUUGAAUGUCCUCCAUCUGGAAGAGUUUAGCUAAUUAAACCAAAGAUCACGGAUGAGUUGGCCCCAUUUAUCUCCAAUGGAUGAAAUCCUUUUCUCUCCAGAGGAUUCUUCAGACAAAUAUCAAGGCAGUCCCUUGCUUCACCCAGUGGGCCUUCCGAUCUCUUCCUUAGCAAGGCAGUGUGGUGCUGAGCACCAGAAAAUUCCCAGGGAGAGCCUCUGCCAAAAUGCAAAACCAAGGAAAAAGGAUAAAAGCAACAGUUUUGGACCAGGCUGGCAGAAAUGGUAAACCCAAUCUGCCAUAUUUGCUUUUUCUUAAUCUAAAAUAACAGAGAUAACAUACACAAUGGACUUUCUAACUUGCCACUUUUCCCUUAUCUUUUUUCCCUUUGUGAGCCUAAGACAUCGUGUUCUUUCAUAUAACCUCUCUCUCUCUCAAAAAAAAAAAAAAAAAA
Molecule: long non-coding RNA, 832 nt
Organism: Herpailurus yagouaroundi (jaguarundi)
Lineage: Eukaryota; Metazoa; Chordata; Mammalia; Carnivora; Felidae
Exons: 5
Source: RefSeq, a predicted model, not a curated record